Molecule: long non-coding RNA, 545 nt
Organism: Gasterosteus aculeatus aculeatus (three-spined stickleback)
Lineage: Eukaryota; Metazoa; Chordata; Actinopteri; Perciformes; Gasterosteidae
Source: Ensembl
GCAGUACUUGCAAGACGAGCACACAAACAGACACGCGUGUGUUACUAUAUUCAGAAGAACUGUAUCUCCAGUUCCUUUGUUUGGUUUUUGCUGCUUCGUGAAUAAUGGCUGGACGACGUCUUGCGUUCAACUCCUCUCCGCGGUCACCAACUUUCAGCCAGUCCGCAGACAGACGAGAAGAAGCUGCUGAAAGCUCUCAGUGGAUCGUCUCGUCAACUCCAGCAACAAAUUGCCGAUAUCAACGAGCGGUUCGCGUUCGGGAAUCUCCAGGUUUCUGUCCAUGGAGGAGAGGAACCGACUCAAAGAAGAGGAGACGGGCGCACAAUCCCAAGAAAGCGGAAGCGGUGCGCCGUCUUCACAACUCCGAGACGAAUUACAGGCGCUACGAACCGGAGCAAGGACUAAUCUCGCCUCAUAAUGAGGCGGUGACCUCGUAUUUGCUCCAGGAAAAGUCCAGAUUUAGACGACGUCAUUGUGUGCACUUCCUGUGGGUGGAAUCACCAUUAGCCGCAUCGUCGCCCCCUGCAGUCUGGGUGUGCUCCGAC